This 253-nucleotide ribosomal RNA is filed under the name uncultured bacterium. Its description in RNAcentral is "partial 16S ribosomal RNA". It matches the Rfam family "Bacterial small subunit ribosomal RNA", at positions 524 to 776 of the family's 1533-position model. The record is from RNAcentral.
UACGAAGGGGGCUAGCGUUGCUCGGAAUUACUGGGCGUAAAGGGCGCGUAGGCGGAUAGUUUAGUCAGAGGUGAAAGCCCAGGGCUCAACCUUGGAAUUGCCUUUGAUACUGGCUAUCUUGAGUUCGGGAGAGGUGAGUGGAAUGCCGAGUGUAGAGGUGAAAUUCGUAGAUAUUCGGCGGAACACCAGUGGCGAAGGCGACUCACUGGCCCGAUACUGACGCUGAGGUGCGAAAGCGUGGGGAGCGAACAGG